GUGGAAGCACUUGGUAGUCUUCCUCAACAGCCUCCCAGAGAUCAUUUGCAUCCAGGUAAGCCUCCAUUCUGAUUGCCCAAACUUGAUAAUUUUCUCCAUUGAACACAGGAGGUGCAAUGGCAUUGAAAGGGCUUUCAGCACUCGAAGCCUCCAUUUUGGUGGAAAAAAUACACUCAAAUUCCUCACAAGUCCCUUAAGAAGAGGGCUCUGAUACCAGUUUGAUGGAGCAAA
This 231-nucleotide unclassified non-coding RNA is filed under the name Hevea brasiliensis (rubber tree). Lineage: Eukaryota; Viridiplantae; Streptophyta; Magnoliopsida; Malpighiales; Euphorbiaceae. The record is from RNAcentral.